Mauremys mutica (yellowpond turtle) is the source of this 245-nucleotide long non-coding RNA. RefSeq lists it as uncharacterized. The record is from RefSeq and is a predicted model, not a curated record. Lineage: Eukaryota; Metazoa; Chordata; Testudines; Geoemydidae. The transcript has 3 exons.
GAGACGUCAUGCCGGAGAAUUAUGAGAAUGUGACCUCACUGGGGUUUCCAGUUUCCCAACCUGAUGUGAUCUCCCAGCAGGAACAAGGGGAAGAGCCAUGGGUCCCAGACCUCCAGGGUUCAGAGGAAAGAGCGAUCCUGAGAGUUCCCUGCACAGAUGAGGAAACAUUAAACCAACUCAGAAUCUAUCAAGCCUUUCUGUUCAUCUGAGAAUCCACACAGGGGACCGGCCAUACGAAUGCAGAG